GACGAAGGUGGCGAGCGUUAUUCGGAUUUACUGGGCAUAAAGCGCGCGUAGGCGGCUCGGUCAGUCGGAGGUGAAAGCCCACAGCUCAACUGUGGAACUGCCCUCGAUACUGCCGAGCUUGAGUGUAGGAGAGGUGACCGGAACUCCAGGUGUAGCGGUGAAAUGCGUAGAUAUCUGGAGGAACACCAGAGGCGAAGGCGGGUCACUGGACUAUUACUGACGCUGAGGUGCGAAAGCUAGGGUAGCAAACAGG
Molecule: ribosomal RNA, 253 nt
Filed under: uncultured bacterium
Lineage: Bacteria
Description: partial 16S ribosomal RNA
Rfam family: Bacterial small subunit ribosomal RNA
Source: RNAcentral